AGUGAACGCUGGCGGUAGGCCUAACACAUGCAAGUCGAACGGCAGCACAGUAAGAGCUUGCUCUUACGGGUGGCGAGUGGCGGACGGGUGAGGAAUACAUCUGAAUCUACUUUUUCGUGGGGGAUAACGUAGGGAAACUUACGCUAAUACCGCAUACGACCUACGGGUGAAAGCAGGGGAUCCUCGGACCUUGCGCGAUUGAAUGAGCCGAUGUCGGAUUAGCUAGUUGGCGGGGUAAAGGCCCACCAAGGCGACGAUCCGUAGCUGGUCUGAGAGGAUGAUCAGCCACACUGGAACUGAGACACGGUCCAGACUCCUACGGGAGGCAGCAGUGGGGAAUAUUGGACAAUGGGCGCAAGCCUGAUCCAGCCAUACCGCGUGGGUGAAGAAGGCCUUCGGGUUGUAAAGCCCUUUUGUUGGGAAAGAAAAGCAGCAGGUUAAUACCCCGCUGUUCUGACGGUACCCAAAGAAUAAGCACCGGCUAACUUCGUG
This 492-nucleotide ribosomal RNA is filed under the name uncultured bacterium. RNAcentral's name for it is "partial 16S ribosomal RNA". It matches the Rfam family "Bacterial small subunit ribosomal RNA", at positions 29 to 507 of the family's 1533-position model. The record is from RNAcentral.